This 504-nucleotide ribosomal RNA is filed under the name uncultured bacterium. RNAcentral's name for it is "partial 16S ribosomal RNA". It matches the Rfam family "Bacterial small subunit ribosomal RNA", at positions 29 to 523 of the family's 1533-position model. The record is from RNAcentral.
AUUGAACGCUGGCGGCAGGCCUAACACAUGCAAGUCGGACGGUAGCACAGAGAGCUUGCUCUUGGGUGACGAGUGGCGGACGGGUGAGUAAUGUCUGGGGAUCUGCCCGAUAGAGGGGGAUAACCACUGGAAACGGUGGCUAAUACCGCAUAACGUCGCAAGACCAAAGAGGGGGAACUUCGGGCCUCUCACCAUCGGAUGACCCCAGAUGGGAUUAGCUAGUAGGCGGGGUAAUGGCCCACCUAGGCGACGAUCCCUAGCUGGUCUGAGAGGAUGACCAGCCACACUGGAACUGAGACACGGUCCAGACUCCUACGGGAGGCAGCAGUGGGGAAUAUUGCACAAUGGGCGCAAGCCUGAUGCAGCCAUGCCGCGUGUAUGAAGAAGGCCUUCGGGUUGUAAAGUACUUUCAGCGGGGAGGAAGGCGACGCGGUUAAUAACCGCGUCGAUUGACGUUACCCGCAGAAGAAGCACCGGCUAACUCCGUGCCAGCAGCCGCAGUAA